Molecule: ribosomal RNA, 497 nt
Filed under: uncultured bacterium
Lineage: Bacteria
Description: partial 16S ribosomal RNA
Rfam family: Bacterial small subunit ribosomal RNA
Source: RNAcentral
GAUGAACGCUGGCGGCGUGCCUAAUACAUGCAAGUCGAGCGAACGGACGAGAAGCCUGCUUUUCUGAUGUUAGCGGCGGACGGGUGAGUAACACGUGGAUAACCUACCUAUAAGACUGGGAUAACUUCGGGAAACCGGAGCUAAUACCGGAUAAUAUUUUGAACCGCAUGGUUCAAAAGUGAAAGACGGUCUUGCUGUCACUUAUAGAUGGAUCCGCGCUGCAUUAGCUAGUUGGUAAGGUAACGGCUUACCAAGGCAACGAUGCAUAGCCGACCUGAGAGGGUGAUCGGCCACACUGGAACUGAGACACGGUCCAGACUCCUACGGGAGGCAGCAGUAGGGAAUCUUCCGCAAAGGGCGAAGGCCUGACGGAGCAACGCCGCGUGAGUGAUGAAGGUCUUCGGAUCGUAAAACUCUGUUAUUAGGGAAGAACAUAUGUGUAAGUAACUGUGCACAUCUUGACGGUACCUAAUCAGAAAGCCACGGCUAACUACGUG